RNAcentral lists this long non-coding RNA (473 nucleotides) under Apteryx owenii (little spotted kiwi). RNAcentral's name for it is "lncRNA (ENSAOWG00000008169.1)". Lineage: Eukaryota; Metazoa; Chordata; Aves; Apterygiformes; Apterygidae. The record is from RNAcentral.
AGGGCGGGCUGUGGCGGCCCCGGCGCGUCCCGCGGCCGGGCCGCGCCGGGGCCGCCUGGUCUUGGUGGAAGUUACAUCCGCGGCAAGUCGGGCUGUAGGCAGAGUUAUUUAAAUGCUCACCGACGACGGCUCAGAGGAAUGCUGUCUGUAUCGGAGAGAGAAGCAGUGCUAGCUGACAGGAUAAUUUUCAUAGAGAAGGCGAUUCGUUAUUAGGAAAGUAAACUAAGAUGCUCCCUAUUACUUCUACAAAAGUUCAGCAGAUCCUGUAGGGACAGUAACAAGGAAAACACCAAAUCUCUCCACUGGUAUACCUGUUCUAAGAGGUGAGCAUUUUUCCACAGAUGAAUGUCCUACACAAGCAAAAUAAGAAAUAGUUCAAAAAUUCUUAAGAAUUUUAUGGGGUUUGUGAAAACUGGUGACUCUUGUUAGUAUAACUUUUUAUGAUAUUAUAAUAAAAAAAUGUAAAAUGUUUC